Molecule: ribosomal RNA, 379 nt
Filed under: uncultured bacterium
Lineage: Bacteria
Description: bacterial SSU rRNA
Rfam family: Bacterial small subunit ribosomal RNA
Source: RNAcentral
GAUGAACGCUGGCGGCGUGCCUAACACAUGCAAGUCGAGCGAUUUACUUCGGUAAAGAGCGGCGGACGGGGUGAGUAACGCGUGGGUAACCUGCCCUGUACACACGGAUAACAUACCGAAAGGUAUGCUAAUACGAGAUAAUAUACUUUUAUCUCAUGGUAGAAGUAUCAAAGCUCUGGCGGUACAGGAUGGACCCGCGUCUGAUUAGCUAGUUGGUAAGGUAACGGCUUACCAAGGCGACGAUCAGUAGCCGACCUGAGAGGGUGAUCGGCCACAUUGGAACUGAGACACGGUCCAAACUCCUACGGAGGCAGCAGUGGGGAAUAUUGCACAAUGGGCGAAGACCUGAUGCAGCAACGCCGCGUGAGCGAUGAAGGCC